AUCGCUUCUCGGCCUCUUUGGCUAAGAUCAUGUGUAGUAUCUGUUCUUGUCAGCUUAAUAUCUGAUAUGUGGGUCACAGACCCACACAUUUAUUAAACUGAUUUUUAGAGAAUCAGUUGGUAAAGAAGCUUGCUUCAGCCAACUUGUAGAUCUUCUCAGUAUUGCAGUAUUUCUGAGUUAGGUCUUUUACUU
Molecule: small nuclear RNA, 192 nt
Filed under: Hofstenia miamia
Lineage: Eukaryota; Metazoa; Xenacoelomorpha; Acoela; Hofsteniidae
Description: U2 spliceosomal RNA
Rfam family: U2 spliceosomal RNA
About the family: U2 is a small nuclear RNA (snRNA) component of the spliceosome (involved in pre-mRNA splicing). Complementary binding between U2 snRNA (in an area lying towards the 5' end but 3' to hairpin I) and the branchpoint sequence (BPS) of the intron results the bulging out of an unpaired adenosine, on the BPS, which initiates a nucleophilic attack at the intronic 5' splice site, thus starting the first of two transesterification reactions that mediate splicing.
Source: RNAcentral